Molecule: ribosomal RNA, 253 nt
Filed under: uncultured bacterium
Lineage: Bacteria
Description: partial 16S ribosomal RNA
Rfam family: Bacterial small subunit ribosomal RNA
Source: RNAcentral
GACGUAGGAUGCAAGCGUUGUCCGGAAUUAUUGGGCGUAAAGAGUUCGUAGGUGGCAUGUUAAGUCUGAUGUUAAAGCCCGAGGCUCAACCUCGGUUCGGCAUUGGAUACUGGCAAGCUAGAGUGCAGGAGAGGCAAGGGGAAUUCCUAGUGUAGCGGUGAAAUGCGUAGAUAUUAGGAGGAACACCGGUGGCGUAAGCGCCUUGCUGGACUGUAACUGACGCUGAGGAACCAAAGCCAGGGUAGCAAAUGGG